Molecule: non-coding RNA, 135 nt
Organism: Hordeum vulgare subsp. vulgare (domesticated barley)
Lineage: Eukaryota; Viridiplantae; Streptophyta; Magnoliopsida; Poales; Poaceae
Source: Rfam
CACAUAUUCCCUCCGUCUCAAAAUUCUUGUCUUACUUUUGUCUAAAAACGAAUGUAUCUAAGUACUAAAACUUGACUACCACAUUCAUAUCUAAACAAAUUUAAGACAAGAAUUUUAGGAUGGAUGGAGUAUUUU